Molecule: ribosomal RNA, 253 nt
Filed under: uncultured bacterium
Lineage: Bacteria
Description: partial 16S ribosomal RNA
Rfam family: Bacterial small subunit ribosomal RNA
Source: RNAcentral
UACGGCGGGGGCUAGCGUUGUCCGAAGUUACUGGGCGUAAAGCGCGCGUAGGCGGGUUGGUAAGUCCGCUGUGAAAGCCCGGAGCUCAACUCCGGAGGGUCGGUGGAUACUGCCAGUCUUGAAGGUGCUAGGGGGAGAUGGAAUUACCGGUGUAGCGGUGAAAUGCGUAGAUAUCGGUAGGAACACCAGUGGCGAAGGCGGUCUCCUGGGGCAUUCUUGACGCUGAGGCGCGAAAGCUGGGGGAGCGAACAGG